UGGGGAAUUUUGGACAAUGGGCGAAAGCCUGAUCCAGCAAUGCCGCGUGUGUGAAGAAGGCCUUCGGGUUGUAAAGCACUUUUGUCCGGAAAGAAAUCCUUGGCUCUAAUACAGUCGGGGGAUGACGGUACCGGAAGAAUAAGCACCGGCUAACUACGUGCCAGCAGCCGCGGUAAUACGUAGGGUGCAAGCGUUAAUCGGAAUUACUGGGCGUAAAGCGUGCGCAGGCGGUUUGCUAAGACCGAUGUGAAAUCCCCGGGCUCAACCUGGGAACUGCAUUGGUGACUGGCAGGCUAGAGUAUGGCAGAGGGGGGUAGAAUUCCACGUGUAGCAGUGAAAUGCGUAGAGAUGUGGAGGAAUACCGAUGGCGAAGGCAGCCCCCUGGGCCAAUACUGACGCUCAUGCACGAAAGCGUGGGGAGCAAACAGGAUUAGAUACCCUGGUAGUCCACGCCCUAAACGAUGUCAACUAGUUGUUGGGGAUUCAUUUCCUUAGUAACGUAGCUAACGCGUGAAGUUGACCGCCUGGGGAGUACGGUCGCAAGAUUAAAACUCAAAUGAAUUGNC
RNAcentral lists this ribosomal RNA (566 nucleotides) under uncultured bacterium. Its description in RNAcentral is "partial 16S ribosomal RNA". It matches the Rfam family "Bacterial small subunit ribosomal RNA", at positions 355 to 914 of the family's 1533-position model. The record is from RNAcentral.